GUUGAUUGGUUUUGAGAUAUAACCACGCUAUACUAAGUGUAUAUUCACAUAUUCCAUUCUCAAGUGUUCGAGGAUUUUCAUACUUAAAGACGAUACUUUUGGAGUUUGUCCGGGAAAAACUGCUCUGCUUUUGGUCGUGAGAGUUGCGGUAGACACAAUGAACGAUAAAAUACCCAGUGUUUUUAGGACGACUGAUGGAGAACAGCUCGAGUAGAAUUGCUAAGACCGCUAUUAUUAAAGAGAUCUGACGUCGGUGCGAACGUAUUGAUGCGAAACAAACAAAUGAAGUAAAUUGAACUAAUAUUACAAACGUAUCAGCCCAAAUCAUGUGCCUAUGCAGCAUACUUUGGUAUUUGCUCUGCCAACAAGACAACUCCAGACAAUUUUACUUGUCAUUGAUAGUGAUUUCUAGUUGAUGUGUACUGUGUAGUGGACUAUUAAUUUAAAAGUAACAUUUGGAAUAGUCAAACUGAUAUCUGUUAUUGAAUUUUCAAAUUAGCAUCCUCAAAAAACCAUUAUAUUAUAUUGUAUGGCAUUUCUGCAUGUUCAGUUGCUAGCAGUGGCAUAGCUAGCCCGACGAUUUGGACCCGCUAUGCAAAUUUCAACUCAUCAUUAUUCACUUCUUUAGAAAUUAUAACAUUGUACCAGACUACUGUAACUACAUACUUACUGAAUUUAAGACUGUUGAAGAAUAUUUAUUGUCUAUCACCAUUACAUAAUCUACACAUCAACUGGCAAUGCAUGCAGAUGCACCUACUUUCAAAUUGGCAUUUUACUCUGUCUAAAGCAAUAAAAUUUUACUCAGUGGAAGAAUACUGCUGUUAAUCGGUUAUUAACAACUAUUGAUAUCCACCCUGGGAUGGUUGUUCAUUCAAUUUGGGAUUUGCAGGGUGAAGUUCUUCAAUUGGCAGAUCUCUGACCUCACUGAGAGAGGACUGACUAGUCGUGAAAUUGGCAUGCAAAAUUGUAUGGCCUAUUGGCUCUGGGUUG
Non-coding RNA from Paramuricea clavata, 990 nucleotides. NCBI's taxonomy places the organism in Eukaryota, Metazoa, Cnidaria, Anthozoa, Malacalcyonacea, Plexauridae. The record is from the annotation of a GenBank genome assembly.